Molecule: ribosomal RNA, 196 nt
Filed under: uncultured bacterium
Lineage: Bacteria
Description: partial 16S ribosomal RNA
Rfam family: Bacterial small subunit ribosomal RNA
Source: RNAcentral
ACGCUCGACACCUACGGGAGCAGCAGUGGGGAUAUUGCACAAUGGGGGAAACCCUGAUGCAGCGACGCCGCGUGGAGGAAGAAGGUCUUCGGAUUGUAAACUCCUGUUGUUGGGGAAAAAGAGGAUGGUACCCAACAAGGAAGUGACGGCUAACUACGUGCCAACAGCCGCGGUAAUCUGAGCGGGCUGGCAAGGC